Long non-coding RNA from Hemiscyllium ocellatum (epaulette shark), 487 nucleotides. RefSeq lists it as uncharacterized. The record is from RefSeq and is a predicted model, not a curated record. Lineage: Eukaryota; Metazoa; Chordata; Chondrichthyes; Orectolobiformes; Hemiscylliidae. The transcript has 3 exons.
GGGCAUUGAGCACAGACUGAAUGACUCAGUGACGCUUGGAUCAGGUCAGAUCAAAUUCUCAAGCAAACAGAUGGCUGGGGAUAUUCAGUAGCAACGGUGAGGAGAGAGAGGAACAAUUCACAUUUGAAGUGACCCUUCCUCAAAACGGUCUGUUCUGAAGGAGCUUUCCCGCAGAAAUCACUGGAUUGAAAGCUUCUGGCAACAAAUGGCCACAAACCGAUCAAAGGUGAAAGUGACGGUGAACCAGACAGAGCAGUCAGUGGCUGCAUAAAGCAGGACGGCGUGGAUAUUACACACGGGACGGAGUACAGGAAAUAAAACUGUUCCCGAUAAACAAUGGGAAUGUGUCUCAGGAUCAGGUCGAGGAUAAUGACCAGGAGAUCCGCCGCUGCCAUGGCCCCCAGGUAUCUAUGUUAGCUGUUUGGAUACAGAAUUGGCUGGCCAACAGAAGACAGCGAGUGGUAGUGGAAGGAAAAUAUUCUGCCUG